Molecule: RNA transcript, 2285 nt
Organism: Myiozetetes cayanensis
Lineage: Eukaryota; Metazoa; Chordata; Aves; Passeriformes; Tyrannidae
Gene name: alcohol dehydrogenase 1
Exons: 10
Source: RefSeq, a predicted model, not a curated record
UUCCCCCUCGGCCCAUGAAGCGGGAUUGGGACACAAGGUGGCAAGCGCCAACACAAACCUCUGUGUGCAGUACCCUGAACACAGAAAUGUGGGGCUGACGUCUUCCCAAAUGCAGAAGCAGUUCCCAAACACAAAUGCUGCUCCUCUCAGCGUGGCUCUCCAACAAGAAGACUUAUUCUUACUCAUCCAUUCUCCUGUAAAUCAUGUUGUCCAAUGCCUCAGCAGAAAACAGCUCUGUGGGAACCAGGAGAGCCUGGGGAGAGUGAACCACUCAUGGACCAUGUUACAUAUCAGUGAAACAAAUGUGUCCUUGGAAAAAAUCACUUUCUAAGAUACUGUCCCUUACUACUCAGGUGAAAAGUGCUGCAACAGCACAGACAGUAGAACUUCACUCCAGAAGCACAUGAGUGUUUGUACAUCACAUCGUGUUUUCACUACCGUUUUUCUUUUCUUUUUUUUUUUUUCCUUUGAAUUUUUAAUCCUUUAGCAAAUACCUUGGUGUGAAUGGCCACCAGGUCAAAUGCUCUGCCUUGGCAACAAGGGGACUCCAAGGAAGCCCCAGCAGUGCUGCCAAUCUCCUCGCUCCACACCUGCCAGAAAGCAACUGGAGAGAAAAAAACCUUCCUAUGGUCUCUGUGCCUUUCAGGCAGGGAGACCAGAGAAUGGCCCAAGGGCAGUCACUGAUAAAAGUACCCCUGAAGGACUUCUGCCCUCAUCCAUCUCCCAGCCACUGUCCAACUCCUCCCCUCAGCACUCCCUGUGCUCCUCAGCUUCCAAUAUCUGACACAGAUUAACCAGAGCUCUCCAGUGACGGUGCCACACACAGAGUUCUCCAGCUCCACAGCUGGGGGACUUCACAACACAGAGCUUCAGCCAGACAGGCAGCAGCUUCCCUCCAGCCUGAUACAGCAACGGGAACACCUCUGCUAAGACCACAUGGCCACGUCGGGAAAAGUUAUCAGAUGCAGAGCUGCUGUUGCCUGGGCCGCGGGCAAACCACUCUCUGUCGAGGAGGUGGAGGUUGCACCUCCAAAGGCAGGUGAAGUCCGGAUCAAGAUUGUGGCCACUGGCAUCUGUCACACAGAUGAACAUGUUUUGAAAGGUUGCUUUCCUAAUGUGGAAUUCCCAGUUAUCCCAGGCCACGAAGGAGCUGGGAUUGUGGAAAGUGUUGGAGAAGGAGUGACCUCUAUGAAACCAGGAGACAAAGUGAUACCCCUUUGCCUCCCUCAGUGUGGGGAAUGCAGCUUCUGUCUGAAUCCUGAAUCCAAUUACUGCCUGAAAUGCCAUUUCUCUGAACAUCAAAACCUCCUGCCUGACAAGACCACCCGGUUCACUUGCAAAGGGAAGCAGAUCCACCAUUUCAUGUGGGUCAGCACCUUUGCAGAAUACACCGUGGUCCCAGAGUACGCUGUGGCCAAGAUAGAUCCUGCAGCACCUCUGGACAAAGUCUGCUUGCUCGGCUGUGGGUUUUCCACAGGCUAUGGGGCUGCCCUCAACAACGCCAAGGUAAAGCCAGGCUCCACCUGUGCCAUCUUCGGCCUCGGAGGAGUUGGCCUCUCUGUCGUCAUGGGCUGCAAGGCAGCUGGAGCUUCCCGCAUCAUUGCCGUGGAUAUCAACAAGGACAAGUUUGCCAAGGCCAAGGAGCUGGGAGCCACCGACUGCAUCAACCCUCGCGACUACAAGAAGCCCAUCCAGGAGGUGCUCACUGAGAUGACAGGACAGGGUGUGGACUACUCCUUUGAGGCCAUUGGCUAUGCAGAAACCAUGAUUGCUGCCCUGGCUUCCUGCAAUAUGAGCACUGGCGUUUGUGUGAUGGUUGGGGUACUGGAUUCCGGUUCAGAGAUUUCCGUCGAUCCUACUCUUCUGCUGACUGGGCGUACAUGGAAGGGGUCAGCACUUGGAGGCUGGAAGACGAGAGAUUGUAUCCCCAAAUUAGUUUCCAGCUAUUUGGAGAAGAAAUUCAAUUCAGACUUGCUGAUCACACACACGCUGCCCUUCGCUAAAGUGAACGAGGGAUUUGAGUUGUUACGUGCAGGAAAGAGUAUUCGCAGCGUCCUGCUCUUCUGAGGGACACGGCCAUGGAAAGCUGAGAGGAGGGACCAGCCCAGCAGAUGCUCUCCUGGCCCAUGCCCUUCUAAAUCAGCCUCACCUUGUGGGGCACAAGGAGACGAGAAGAAGGAAGUCGCCUACGCUGGUCUUGCUGCUGCUCUUCCUGUGCCCAGACAAGACCCAGAAGGAUCCCUCUUCUGAGAAAACGCUUUUACCAAUAAAGGGUUUCAGUCAAA